RNAcentral lists this ribosomal RNA (253 nucleotides) under uncultured Eubacteriales bacterium. RNAcentral's name for it is "uncultured Clostridiales bacterium partial 16S ribosomal RNA". It matches the Rfam family "Bacterial small subunit ribosomal RNA", at positions 524 to 776 of the family's 1533-position model. The record is from RNAcentral. Lineage: Bacteria; Bacillati; Bacillota; Clostridia; Eubacteriales.
UACGUAGGGGGCAAGCGUUAUCCGGAUUUACUGGGUGUAAAGGGAGCGUAGACGGUGAAGCAAGUCUGAAGUGAAAGGCGGGGGCCCAACCCCCGGACUGCUUUGGGAACUGUACGGCUGGAGUGCAGGAGAGGUAAGUGGAAUUCCUAGUGUAGCGGUGAAAUGCUUAGAUAUUAGGAGGAACACCAGUGGCGAAGGCGGCUCACUGGACUGUAACUGACGCUGAAGCACGAAGGCGUGGGUAUCGAACAGG